GUUGGGCUCGGGUUUGGGUUUUUUAGGAGGUGGCAUGUUUUGCUUUUUACCCUGUACUUGUUCCUACAAUGUUGCUAUAGCUGGAUUGAGUGUUGCGACGUACACUAAGAAGGUCUUAGGACUAGUAGUUCCAUUUUAGGGCAACGUAGGGUUAGAGAGUUUUUUUCAAUUUUGUAUUUUGUUUUCUGUAGUUCCUCUAAGAUUUUAGUCUUUUCGGAGUUUCUAUUUUGGAUUUUAGUCGUUUCAUUCGAGUAUCAAUCUAUAAUAUGAGGGGUUUUUGGACCUCUCAAGCUUGACCGAGUGAGGUCGUAUGAUUUAAUAGCCCUAAAAAAAAAAAAAAAACUCGAAAGUAAUGUUUCUAGGUAUAUGAGUUGUUGGAGUCAAAAUAGAUUUUUAAAAGUGCCAAGCAAUAGUUGUGUACUUCUGAUCCUCCAAUUAACCAGAAGUGGUUAAACCAAGAGUGUUGUCCAAGACGUGAAUAGCAUGGGGUACAUCAUGUAAAGGCUAGAUUAACUAAUUUCAGAGUCCUGCUUGAAGCAAAGUUGGGGACAUGAUGAGUAUGAUCUCCUAGUUCCACAGAACGAUUCGACUCAUUGCUAGCUGUAGGAUUCCUAUUUCAUUGGAAGAGAUAUCAAAUUAUGCAAGAUAAAUAACAAGAACCAAACACGUACACCACACGCAACCAACCCAAAUUUAUUCUCUUAAACUUGUUUUGAUGGACAAAAGGAAUCAAAACCUUAGCAAUAUCCAUCAAAACAAAAGGAUCAAAACCUUGAGAAAUUCUAAGGUUGACAAAACUUGUUAUUCCUAAAUCCAAACCUCAAUCCAAAUCCAUGUUGUGAUCAUUCUCUCCGCAGGCCAAUCCAACCUUCUUCAUCACCAACAGCUUCAAGGUGAUUUGAUUGGUUGGGGCCUUGGAGGAGGAGGAAAAUCUCAAAAUCAUAUAUGGGGAAGCAUCCAAGAUGUUGUUGUGGAGAUGAUGGUGAUCAAUCCCCUAUUAACAAUGGAGAAAGAAGUAGGAGUAAUCGGAAAAGAGCAUCAUCAUUGUGUCAUUGUCCUGCAGUUUCUUCAAUAUUUAGAAGGAUAGGAAGAUGUAUGUUUGUGACUUGUUUCCCUGUCAUACAAUGUUUUGGAUUAGAUGAAUGUAGACACCACCACCACCAUCACCAUAAACAUUUUGCAGAGUUUACAUGAUAGCAAUCUCAAUUAAAUUCUUUUAGUAUUAGAUCGUUUAGGGAUGGUGUAAAAAUUUGAAGCUUUUGAUUUGGUGUUAUUUGUUUGGAUCAUAAAAGGGAUCAUUACAGAAGUUUGGCAGUAGUUUUAGUGCAGUAGUUAGUGGAUCAGAUAUCAUGAUGUUGUACAGUUCUUUGUAAAAUAUACAUCUGCAUUUUACCU
Rosa rugosa (rugosa rose) is the source of this 1395-nucleotide long non-coding RNA. RefSeq lists it as uncharacterized. Lineage: Eukaryota; Viridiplantae; Streptophyta; Magnoliopsida; Rosales; Rosaceae. The transcript has 2 exons. The record is from RefSeq and is a predicted model, not a curated record.